Molecule: ribosomal RNA, 267 nt
Filed under: uncultured bacterium
Lineage: Bacteria
Description: partial 16S ribosomal RNA
Rfam family: Bacterial small subunit ribosomal RNA
Source: RNAcentral
GUCCUAGCCGUAAACGGUGCUUGCUUGCUGUAAGAGGAAUCGACCCCUUUUGUGGCGAAGCUAACGCGAUAAGCAAGCCGCCUGGGAAGUACGGUCGCAAGAUUAAAACUCAAAGAAAUUGACGGGGGCCUGCACAAGCGGUGGAGUAUGUGGCUUAAUUCGAUGCAACGCGAAGAACCUUACCUGGCCUUGACAUGCACAUAGUAGAAGCCUGAAAGGGUGACGAGGUAGCAAUACCAGUGUGCACAGGUGCUGCAUGGCUGUCGU